GUUUUUUUCACAUAGCUUUGCUAAUAUAAUCAUCAAAUAUACUAGAUAUUACUUAGUAUAUGAUCAAGAGCUGUAAAAACAUAAUUUGAAACAUAUAUUGAAUUUGCUUUAAUAUUGGUUCGUGUUUUCUAACAUUUUUAUUUUGUUUUGCGGAUGAAAUUUCGAAGAUUCUGUUUUAAAUCCUAGAGGUUGUAGAAACAUCGUGUCCAACGUUUGUAAGUAGAAAGAGAGCUAUCAAUAUAUAUUUCAAUUCACCCUUAUUACACGAAGGCAUGUAGUUGGGCGCUGGUUUAUAGGUAGGAUGUAUGUCAGUCCUCAUAUAAUU
Molecule: long non-coding RNA, 325 nt
Filed under: Mytilus galloprovincialis (Mediterranean mussel)
Lineage: Eukaryota; Metazoa; Mollusca; Bivalvia; Mytilida; Mytilidae
Source: RNAcentral